UUAAUCAUUUUGUUAUCACUCCUGUAUGAUCAGCAAUGAAUGUAAAUAUGUAUAUAUAUUAUUUUGUUUUCCCCUAGCCUCAUACUUUAGAUUAUAUUAAUAAUAGCAUUCCCACCUUAGCAAAACCAGAACUUUCUCUCACCUCCCUAUUCUGCAUGACUCUUGCGCCUCCCACUGACUAUAAAUAAAGGAGUCAAGGGGAACCACCCUUUGUAACACAUUCUGCUGUAGUUUGCAUUGCAGAGAGUGUGGGUACCCUUGCAAGUAAAACUGUAACCUGUGUGUGUCUCAUAAAUGUGGAGUUGGGGUGGAAACGCCGGGCGCUUUCCCCAACAUAGAAUUUGGUCCUUCGAGCCGGAUCCGAGGAACCCCGAAGACGUCUCCAGUACGCCGAGAGAAGCGACACCGAAAACUGCCGGCAGUCACUCGAAGACGGGUGCAAGAAAGACCUGUGAUGUGAAUUCGUCAUCAGGCCGGUGGUUAGAACUGCGCUCGACGUCUGGUGAUGUCUGAAGGACCUCGGUGACGGAACAGAGAGCACACUAUACAGGAUAACUUGCAGCCAGGGGAUUGGAUCCUGGUCAAGGUCCUGUUGCGGAAGGAGUGGAGCACACCCCGGUGGGACGGUCCUUAUCAAGUCCUCCUCACAACACCAACAGCUGUGAAAAUAGCAGAACGACCUUCCUGGAUACACAAAAGUCACUGUAAACCCAUCAAGCCCUUAUCAGAGGCCUCAGCGACAGAGUAGCAGUGGAAGUCCGCUACAAAGGCACAGUAACCAAUAGGGUGCUGCUGUCUCAACCCGGUGAAGAAAACAACUGAACUGCACUCUAUUAGGAUGGCUCUGACGGGGUGGGGAUGUGGUAAGGUGACUCUAGGGGUCAUUCUUGUUGUUGGACUUGUAUGGUUGUCCUUGCUCCCACUAGCUCCAUUGCAACACCUACGGCGAUGGACCCAUGACGACUUCCAUCUGUGCCCGUUGCCUGCUGACCACUCACACCCGUUCAUGAAGAACUACUGGUAUCAAUAUGUACAUGACACUGUAACAGCAAAAAAUGUGACGAAUUGCUAUGUUUGUUCUGUGAUGCCUACUCAUAGUGAACGACCCACUGUAUAUGGAAAACCCAUGAAUAUGUCACAGGCCAAAUGUGCCGCAUCUUUUGCAGGUAUAGGGUACCAAAGUAUUGUUUCACUUAUAUUUUCUUUUGUUUUGUUUUUUUAUUUUGUUUUUCUGUUGUUUUAUAACUGUUAUACCAUGUUUGAAAAUGUUUAUUAAUCAAGCUCUUAAUGCUGCUUUUCGGACACACAGUACAAUGUUUCUCUCCCUUACUCAGAAUAUGGAGACAGAGCCUGUUUCCAGCGAUAGCGAUGAAGAAGACAUGUAAUUCAUAAUGACGGCUGAGCCGAAAGCACCCGUGCAGGGCUUGGACCUGAAGUAACGGAAUUAGAUGUUUUUCUAUGAUAAACAGGAGGAACGACUCCUGAUGGUUUUCUGUACUCCACAGUUAGGAUGAUGAUGAUGUGAUCUAAAUGACAGUUGUACUGGAAAUGCUUUUGCAACUUGUACAAUACUGAUGUUUUUGAUCAUACUGUCAUGAUAAACAGGAGGGACUGUUAGGUUGAAGAAACUGUUAUUAAUCAUUUUGUUAUCACUCCUGUAUGAUCAGCAAUGAAUGUAAAUAUGUAUAUAUAUUAUUUUGUUUUCCAAUAGCCUCAUAGUUUAGAUUAUAUUAAUAAUAGCAUUCCCACCUUAGCAAAACCAGAACUUUCUCUCACCUCCCUAUUCUGCAUGACUCUUGCGCCUCCCACUGACUAUAAAUAAAGGAGUCAAGGGGAACCACCCUUUGUAACACAUUCUGCUGUAGUUUGCAUUGCAGAGAGUGUGGGUACCCUUGCAAGUAAAACUGUAA
This is a long non-coding RNA of Brienomyrus brachyistius, 1910 nucleotides long. RefSeq lists it as uncharacterized. NCBI's taxonomy places the organism in Eukaryota, Metazoa, Chordata, Actinopteri, Osteoglossiformes, Mormyridae. The record is from RefSeq and is a predicted model, not a curated record. The transcript has 2 exons.